AUUGAACGCUGGCGGCAGGCCUAACACAUGCAAGUCGAGCGGAUGAAGGGAGCUUGCUCCUGGAUUCAGCGGCGGACGGGUGAGUAAUGCCUAGGAAUCUGCCUGGUAGUGGGGGGUAACGUCCGGAAACGGGCGCUAAUACCGCAUACGUCCUGAGGGAGAAAGUGGGGGAUCUUCGGACCUCACGCUAUCAGAUGAGCCUAGGUCGGAUUAGCUAGUUGGUGGGGUAAAGGCCUACCAAGGCGACGAUCCGUAACUGGUCUGAGAGGAUGAUCAGUCACACUGGGACUGAGACACGGUCCAGACUCCUACGGGAGGCAGCAGUGGGGAAUAUUGGACAAUGGGCGAAAGCCUGACCCAGCCAUGCCGCGUGUGUGAAGAAGGUCUUCGGAUUGUAAAGCACUUUAAGUUGGGAGGAAGGGCAGUAAGUUAAUACCUUGCUGUUUUGACGUUACCAACAGAAUAAGCACCGGCUAACUUCGUG
RNAcentral lists this ribosomal RNA (484 nucleotides) under uncultured bacterium. Its description in RNAcentral is "partial 16S ribosomal RNA". It matches the Rfam family "Bacterial small subunit ribosomal RNA", at positions 30 to 507 of the family's 1533-position model. The record is from RNAcentral.